GCAUGGCUGUCGUCAGCUCGUGUCGUGAGAUGUUGGUUAAGUNCCGCAACGAGCGCAACCCUUACCUUCAAUUGCCAGCACGUUAUGGUGGGAACNUUGAAGGAACUGCCGGUGACAAGCCGGAGGAAGGUGGGGAUGACGUCAAGUCCUCAUNNNNNUUACGGGCCGGGCUACACACGUGAUACAAUGGUAACUACAAAGAGCAGCGAUGGAGCAAUCUUCAGCAAAUCUCCAAAAGUUACCUCAGUUCGGAUUGUACUCUGCAACUCGAGUACAUGAAGUUGGAAUCGCUAGUAAUCGUAGAUCAGCGCGC
This 313-nucleotide ribosomal RNA is filed under the name uncultured Alphaproteobacteria bacterium. RNAcentral's name for it is "partial 16S ribosomal RNA". It matches the Rfam family "Bacterial small subunit ribosomal RNA", at positions 1043 to 1357 of the family's 1533-position model. Lineage: Bacteria; Pseudomonadati; Pseudomonadota; Alphaproteobacteria. The record is from RNAcentral.